ACCUGUUGGCCCUGUCCGGAAAUAGGUUUGCUGGAGGAACAUAGCCAUGAGCAUGAAGCUGUGACCCAACACUUGCCACAGACGGGAUGGAGCUUAGCUCCAAGAAUUGAACCAGUUGUGCGUGCAAUAUCUGACUGCAAAUUUCCAUCUUUUCUAGAUGAUACAUCUUGGUUACAUAGAGGUUCUGAUGUGGAUUUAAAAAGCCAGAUAUUACAACUUCAAAGUUGUCUAACAAAG
Molecule: unclassified non-coding RNA, 237 nt
Filed under: Hevea brasiliensis (rubber tree)
Lineage: Eukaryota; Viridiplantae; Streptophyta; Magnoliopsida; Malpighiales; Euphorbiaceae
Source: RNAcentral